UCACACACACUUAAGUGUGUGCGUGUGUCGCCUGGAACAAAGAAGAACAAACCCAAACCCUCAAAAAAUCACAAAAUCGGUAAAUUGGAAGAGAAUUCAUGGUCCGAAUCACUGCAUGUACACAUAGAAACGUUCAUCUAAGCUAGACAAUCGAAUGGGGUGAAAGAGGAAGACGCAAGCCACUCCGGAACGCAAUCAAAACACGAUAAAGGUAAAGCUACUUGAUGGAUGGCAUAUUUGGACCGAACACACUUGUGAUGCACGCUUCCGCGAAGUUGCUAGUUAUGGUCUAAACUUUUGUUAAAUGUUUCUUUUGUUAAAAACGGGUCUUAUGUAAGUAACAUGAUCCGGUAGUUCUUAGAUCUUGAACUUGUAGUUAAAAAAAAUUGUAUGGGUUGUAAACUCUUUUUGUAACUAUUUCGUUAAUUAUGUCGAAGUAAAUGCAGAAUUUUACUUAUGAA
Molecule: long non-coding RNA, 461 nt
Organism: Helianthus annuus (common sunflower)
Lineage: Eukaryota; Viridiplantae; Streptophyta; Magnoliopsida; Asterales; Asteraceae
Exons: 3
Source: RefSeq, a predicted model, not a curated record